This 1041-nucleotide ribosomal RNA is filed under the name Parabacteroides distasonis. Its description in RNAcentral is "partial 16S ribosomal RNA". The record is from RNAcentral. Lineage: Bacteria; Pseudomonadati; Bacteroidota; Bacteroidia; Bacteroidales; Tannerellaceae.
UGUCCACGCCAUUGUAACACGUGUGUCGCCCCGGAUGUAAGGGCCGUGCUGAUUUGACGUCAUCCCCGCCUUCCUCGCAGCUUACGCUGGCAGUCCCACCAGAGUCCUCAGCUUUACCUGUUAGUAACUAGUGGCAAGGGUUGCGCUCGUUAUGGCACUUAAGCCGACACCUCACGGCACGAGCUGACGACAACCAUGCAGCACCUCGCAAAUGGCUAUUGCUAGAGAAUGUGUUUCCAGAGCGGUCGAAAUGCGUUCAAACCCGGGUAAGGUUCCUCGCGUAUCAUCGAAUUAAACCACAUGUUCCUCCGCUUGUGCGGGCCCCCGUCAAUUCCUUUGAGUUUCACCGUUGCCGGCGUACUCCCCAGGUGGAUCACUUAACGCUUUCGCUGUGCCGCUUACANGUGUAUCGCAAACAGCUAGUGAUCAUCGUUUACUGCGUGGACUACCAGGGUAUCUAAUCCUGUUUGAUCCCCACGCUUUCGUGCAUCAGCGUCAGUCAUGGCUUGGCAGGCUGCCUUCGCRAUCGGGGUUCUGCGUGAUAUCUAAGCAUUUCACCGCUACACCACGCAUUCCGCCUGCCUCAAACAUACUCAAGCCCCCCAGUUUCAACGGCAAUUCUAUGGUUGAGCCACAGACUUUCACCGCUGACUUAAAAGGCCGCCUACGCACCCUUUAAACCCAAUAAAUCCGGAUAACGCUCGGAUCCUCCGUAUUACCGCGGCUGCUGGCACGGAGUUAGCCGAUCCUUAUUCAUAAGGUACAUACAAAACGGGACACGUCCCGCACUUUAUUCCCUUAUAAAAGAGGUUUACGAUCCAUAGAACCUUCAUCCCUCACGCGACUUGGCUGGUUCAGGCUUACGCCCAUUGACCAAUAUUCCUCACUGCUGCCUCCCGUAGGAGUUUGGUCCGUGUCUCAGUACCAAUGUGGGGGACCUUCCUCUCAGAACCCCUAUCCAUCGUCGGUUUGGUGGGCCGUUACCCCGCCAACUGCCUAAUGGAACGCAUGCCUAUCUAUCAGCGAUGAAUCUUUAGCAAA